AUUGAACGCUGGCGGCAGGCCUAACACAUGCAAGUCGAACGGAAGCACAGUGCUUGCUUGUGGUUUCCGCGGGGGAAAGGCGGGUGGGACAUGGGAAUAUCCGUGUCUUCUUUUUCGGAGGUCAGAACGAAGGGGCGACUACGACAUUACCGCAGAGGGCGAACGAGGGAGAGCUUGGGACCUUCGGACCUGGCGUGAUUGUAGGUCGGGGUGGCUAGUUGGUGGGUUAAAGGGCUACCGAGGCGACAAUCCGUAGCUGGUCUGAGAGGAUGAUCGGCCACACUGGAACUGAGACACGGUCCAGACUCCUACGGGAGGCAGCAGUGUGGAAUAUUGGACAAUGGUCGAAAGCCUUAUCCAGCCAUGCCGCGUGUGUGAAGAAGGCCUUCGGUUUGUAAAGCCCUUUUUGUGGGUAAGAACCGCAGUAGGUUAAUACCAUGCUGUUUUGACGGUACCAAGAGAAUAAGCACCGGCUAACUUCGUG
This 484-nucleotide ribosomal RNA is filed under the name uncultured bacterium. Its description in RNAcentral is "partial 16S ribosomal RNA". It matches the Rfam family "Bacterial small subunit ribosomal RNA", at positions 30 to 507 of the family's 1533-position model. The record is from RNAcentral.